RNAcentral lists this ribosomal RNA (465 nucleotides) under Vreelandella stevensii. RNAcentral describes it as "partial 16S ribosomal RNA". It matches the Rfam family "Bacterial small subunit ribosomal RNA", at positions 338 to 795 of the family's 1533-position model. Lineage: Bacteria; Pseudomonadati; Pseudomonadota; Gammaproteobacteria; Oceanospirillales; Halomonadaceae. The record is from RNAcentral.
CCUACGGGUGGCAGCAGUGGGGAAUAUUGGACAAUGGGCGAAAGCCUGAUCCAGCCAUGCCGCGUGUGUGAAGAAGGCCUUCGGGUUGUAAAGCACUUUCAGUGGGGAAGAAAGCCUAGGGGCUAAUACCCUCGAGGAAGGACAUCACCCACAGAAGAAGCACCGGCUAACUCCGUGCCAGCAGCCGCGGUAAUACGGAGGGUGCGAGCGUUAAUCGGAAUUACUGGGCGUAAAGCGCGCGUAGGCGGUCUGAUAAGCCGGUUGUGAAAGCCCCGGGCUCAACCUGGGAACGGCAUCCGGAACUGUCAGGCUAGAGUGCAGGAGAGGAAGGUAGAAUUCCCGGUGUAGCGGUGAAAUGCGUAGAGAUCGGGAGGAAUACCAGUGGCGAAGGCGGCCUUCUGGACUGACACUGACGCUGAGGUGCGAAAGCGUGGGUAGCAAACAGGAUUAGAUACCCGUGUAGUC